UACGGGGGGGGCAAGCGUUGUUCGGAAUUACUGGGCGUAAAGGGCUCGUAGGUGGCCAACUAAGUCAGACGUGAAAUCCCUCGGCUUAACCGAGGAACUGCGUCCGAUAUUGAAAGGCUUGAAUCCGGGAGAGGGAUGUGGAAUUCCAGGUGUAGCGGUGAAAUGCGUAGAUAUCUGGAGGAACACCGGUGGCGAAGGCGGCAUCCUGGACCGGCAUUGACGCUGAGGCGCGAAAGCUAGGGGAGCAAACGGG
RNAcentral lists this ribosomal RNA (253 nucleotides) under uncultured bacterium. RNAcentral's name for it is "partial 16S ribosomal RNA". It matches the Rfam family "Bacterial small subunit ribosomal RNA", at positions 524 to 776 of the family's 1533-position model. The record is from RNAcentral.